This 192-nucleotide non-coding RNA is filed under the name Bacillus sp. (in: firmicutes). The record is from RNAcentral. Lineage: Bacteria; Bacillati; Bacillota; Bacilli; Caryophanales; Bacillaceae.
UAGUUUUAUCAACAUUUAGGUGCCUUUGUGAAGAAAGGUUAAAAGGGAAGCUGGUGACAAUCCAGCACGGACCCCGCCACUGUAAGCGUUGAGCGAUGCUGAGAAUUAUCCACUGUGUGAAAAAUGCAUGGGAAGGGUUGGCAUUGUGCUUGAGACGUAAGUCAGGAGACCUGCCUAAUUGUUUUUAAGGAU